RNAcentral lists this ribosomal RNA (332 nucleotides) under uncultured Chloroflexota bacterium. RNAcentral's name for it is "bacterial SSU rRNA". It matches the Rfam family "Bacterial small subunit ribosomal RNA", at positions 28 to 351 of the family's 1533-position model. The record is from RNAcentral. Lineage: Bacteria; Bacillati; Chloroflexota.
GAUGAACGCUGGCGGCGUGCCUAAUACAUGCAAGUCGAACGAGGUGCUUUUUGUAGCAAUACGAGAAGUAUCCUAGUGGCGAACGGGUGAGUAACGCGUUGGUGACCUGCCCCAAAGUGUGGGAUAACAGUUCGAAAGGAUUGCUAAUACCGCAUGUGGUUAUCGGAUUUAGAAACUGAUAACUAAAGGAGUAAUCCGCUUUGGGAGGGACCUGCGUCCCAUCAGCUAGUUGGUGAGGUAACGGCUCACCAAGGCUACGACGGGUAGGGGACCUGAGAGGGUGGCCCCCCACAAUGGAACUGAAACACGGUCCAUACACCUACGGGUGGCUG